ACAGAUGAGCUGGAGGAGAAAAGAAAAGAACUGGAGACCAAAACUUCUGCCUUAGACCAGACUAAGAGACAUCUCGAUGAAGUAUUGAAGGAAAACCGGAAGCUCAAAGAUGAGAAGCAGCAGCUGGAAAAUAGCGUUAAAAAGAAGUAAAUGGAUUCCAGACUGAUGAACCAGCGAUGACCUCAUGUUGAAAAUACUUUUGUCCCUGAGGACUGGAAACCAGCUGCAGGCCAC
This is a long non-coding RNA of Melanotaenia boesemani (Boeseman's rainbowfish), 234 nucleotides long. RefSeq lists it as uncharacterized. Lineage: Eukaryota; Metazoa; Chordata; Actinopteri; Atheriniformes; Melanotaeniidae. The record is from RefSeq and is a predicted model, not a curated record. The transcript has 3 exons.